UAUAUCAGACGCUUAACAAAACGAUAUACCAUACGAUUGAUGAAACGCUAAACGAUAGCACAUACCAUACGAUAAACGAAACGCUAAACGCUAAACGCUAAACCAUACCAUAAACCAUACGACAAAUAAAACGAUUAACGAUACCAUGAACCAUACGUUAUAACAAAACCCUCAACGGUGACAUUUACCAUACGAUGAACGAACGAUGAACGAACGCUGACCGAACGUUGUACGGACGAUAUACGAAUGAUGUACGAACGAUGACCGAACUCUAUACGAACG
RNAcentral lists this long non-coding RNA (282 nucleotides) under Mytilus galloprovincialis (Mediterranean mussel). Lineage: Eukaryota; Metazoa; Mollusca; Bivalvia; Mytilida; Mytilidae. The record is from RNAcentral.